Molecule: long non-coding RNA, 682 nt
Organism: Zophobas morio
Lineage: Eukaryota; Metazoa; Arthropoda; Insecta; Coleoptera; Tenebrionidae
Exons: 5
Source: RefSeq, a predicted model, not a curated record
UAAUAGCUCGUAUGGGAUACUUGAAUAGAGCAUAAAAGUUACUUCUACGAAAUUAAUACUUCUUUACUUAAUUUAGUUUUUAAAGUAUACUUUAUAACUGGUUGAGUGCAAGAAGCUUUAAGUAGUAUAUAGUAAUUUAAAAUACUAACUUCUGAACGAAGUAUAGUUAUAAGUAUAAUGGGUAGAAUAUUUUUAGAAUAUUUAGGUACAGCUCGCGUAUUUAUCUGCGGAAAUUGUGAUUGCCAUUUAUCAUCUCCCAGCGAUAUAAUUUCAAAGUCUUUUCACGGAAGCCUCGGAAGAGCUUAUCUGUUCGAUAAAGUGAUAAAUGUAAGUGAAGGCCCUUUGGUCGACAGGCUAAUGACCACCGGAGUGCACACUGUAUGUGACGUACGAUGCAAAAAUUGUAAAAAAAUCCUGGGUUGGAAAUAUAAAAGAGCCCAUGAAGUUAGUCAACGUUAUAAAGAAGGAAAGUUUAUUCUUGAAAAGACACUAAUUAUUGAAGUACAAAACCAAGGCUGAAGAAGGGAGCACUCUUUUACCAAUUUUAAAUUUUCAGGGCUGUUCCUAAUACCCCUCAAAUAUAAACAAUUUCAAAACGGCAGAAUAUGAAGUCCCUUUUUUCAUUGAUAAAAAAUAAAAAGUUGUCUCCGCUUGAGUUCCAUAGAUAAAAGCAUACUUUUUA